This 1887-nucleotide long non-coding RNA is filed under the name Takifugu rubripes (torafugu). RNAcentral's name for it is "lncRNA (ENSTRUG00000032920.1)". Lineage: Eukaryota; Metazoa; Chordata; Actinopteri; Tetraodontiformes; Tetraodontidae. The record is from RNAcentral.
UUCCUGUGUUGCUGCCCAUUCUACUGGUUGAGGCGACACUCAGCUCUGGCAUACAAGAAUCCACAGAUGGUGUCACCGGUCUGAAAUUUAUUGUGGCUUUUCCGGAAAAUAUUGCUAAUUUUUAUCCAGCUUUGCCAAAAAACAUGAUCAUAAUUACAGCUUUGUUUCAUGAAACUGAAGUUGUCAUUAAGGGAUAUGAACAUCACAAAGACACACUGAUUCUGAGUGCUGGAGAAACUCAAACAUUUGAUGUUGAAGCCCAUCUGGAGCUCUCAAGAUCAGAAAUCUCCAACAGUUCCCUCCAGAUUAGCAGCAACAAGCUCAUCACUGUCCGUGAAGUCCACCACAAACACCAUAGUAUUCAGACUUCUCUGGUUACACCCACUGACAAACUGGGGACAGACUACCUCAUCCCACCAGUACCCAUCAUCAAUGGAACCAGUCACCCUGUAGACCAGAUCACCACAUUUGUAACUGAAAACAACCCUUUCCGUCUUGUUAUCAUCAACACCGAACAAAACAACACGGUCACCCUCACAGGUGUUGCCUCUAAAAACAUCUUCCUUCUGCCACACCAGGUUGCUAGUAUCUGGUUAAAGCCAGAGGAAGCCUUUAGGGCUGUGAGUGCCGAAAUGCCCAUCGCUGUCCUCUUUGGACAUGCAUGUGCCCACCUGCGCAAUUGUACGUGUGCACAGUUGUACACAGCUCUGUACCCAACCAAAGAAGAAACAAAAAAGUUCUACAUUCCUCCUUUUCUCACAAAGGGUGUUGAAAAUGGAGCAUACGUCCUCCUGUCACAAAGAGAAUCCAGGCAAGUGAAAUCGGCCAGUCAAAUCUCACCACUCCUGGAGGCAACAGGAUCAGCCAUCCUCUACCGUCCGGGCUUACUUAUCCCUCUGAUACCAGAGACAGAUCAUGGUGCCUGUUCCAUUGUCACCUCCGUUCCAAACGCAAGAAAUGUUGCUGUGAUUGUUGUCCACAGGAACCUGACAGCUGGGGUUCAUCUGGGAUAUCAGUCUUUGGAGAGUUUAAACUGGCAGCAACUGGACGGGAAUGAUUAUGUUUCAGUCCACAUUGACCUGGAAUCGAAGAAAAGUGUAAUCUGGCACUCUUCCUCCAAAAUGGCUGUCUAUUCCUUGGGAAUAAAAGAUGGCCUAAUGUUUGGCAACCCAGCAGCUAUCAUUAGCAAAAGUGCAGACAUCAGGGGCUGUCUUUUGGUCCCAGAGGUAAUCAGAAUUGGAGCAGUGGCAGGGGGAUGGCGAGAGUCUUUUCAGUACUGCCAAAAUCAGCAACUGGAGCUGGUAAGCUUUUCCAGGAGAGGACACAUGACACAGGUCUACAACAAAAUCCUCCUGGGCAAACAGGCAGGCCCGAUGGACCUGUGGAUAGGGAUGCGUAGGAGCGCUUGCAGUGGACAGUGGUACUGGCUGAGCAAUGAACCAGUGACUGAAACCAACUGGGCAGAGGGUGAGCCUGGCACAGUUAACGAUGCUCAGUGUGUCAUCAUGACCCUGAAGAGUUCCAACUUUAUUUGGAAAGAUGAGAACUGCUGCAGGAAUGCCCACCCUGUCUGCUACAAGGACCCCACCUUGUUAACCAUAUAGACACGAUGGGUGGCACAGGGGCUUUUUAGAAACCUGUAUGUGUAUAUAUAUAUAUAUAUAUAUAUAUAUAUAUAUAUAUAUAUAUAUAUAUAUAUAUAUAUAUAUAUAUAUAUAUAUAUAUAUAUAUGCCCACUCCACUAGUGUCGUGAUUGUGCAUCCGUUUUGGACUGAUUUCCAAAUUAGACCAGUCCAGUGAGGUAUUAACUACUCAUAGCAGCCUCUUUAUUUCUUUAGCUGGUGCUAACUGAAUCUGCCCACUCCACUAGUGUUGUGAUUGUACUCU